AGGACGAACGCUGGCGGCGUGCGUAACACAUGCAAGUCGAACGAGUGUAGCAAUACACGAGUGGCGGACGGGUGAGGAACACGUGGCUACCAACCUGGCACUGGGGAAUACCCGUGAGAAAUCAUGGUUAAUACCGCAUACGCCCGCAAGGGGAAAGUCGCAAGACGGUGCGAGACGGGGCUGCGCCCGAUUAGCUAGUUGGUGGGGUAAUGGCCUACCAAGGCGUCGAUCGGUAACUGGUCUGAGAGGAUGGCCAGUCACAUUGGGAUUGAGAACGGCCCAAAUCCCUACGGGGAGCAGCAGUGAGGAAUCUUCCACAAUGGGCGC
Molecule: ribosomal RNA, 327 nt
Filed under: uncultured bacterium
Lineage: Bacteria
Description: SSU rRNA
Rfam family: Bacterial small subunit ribosomal RNA
Source: RNAcentral